Non-coding RNA from Callorhinus ursinus (northern fur seal), 1197 nucleotides. NCBI's taxonomy places the organism in Eukaryota, Metazoa, Chordata, Mammalia, Carnivora, Otariidae. The record is from RefSeq and is a predicted model, not a curated record.
GAGACUCUGGCCAACCCUAACCAGAAAGUAACGGGAAGUUUGGUAGACGUGGUGAGGCUUCCGGGUUGGUGUGUGUGCACAGCCCGCCCGGUCACCUUGGCACUCGUACCCCCUCUUUACACCGUAUUAAAAUCCCAAAUACCGAUAAUCGCAGUCACACUCUACUUGAUGGCGGCAAGGAGUCAACCUCUAACGCAAACCCGUCAGCUUUCUCCAAAGGACACGUCUGGGUCGUGUUCAUUGUCUUCCAGCUGAGCCACGCUGCCCCUGCGGCAGCCUGCGGCCUCCAUGCCUGAGGCUUCGGCCCCGUUCACUUCCUUAGACGGUGGGGGUGGCGGCAGAAGGGCAGAGCUGGGAAUCCGCACGCAGAGCUCAUCGGAACCGCUCAGAACAGCCCUCCCCCCGGGCCAGACCCGACCAGACAUUUCCCGGGGAAGACAUGCAGAUGGCCAGAUGCUCAGCGGCACUCAUCUUCAGGGAAAUGCCAAUCAAAACCACAUGGAGUUAACACCUCUUACCCACGAGAAUGGCUACUGUUAAAAAAAUAAAUACUGGCAGGAUACAGAGAAACUGGCAGGGAGGCAACAGUGGGGGGCGGUCCUCAAAACCAUGAGACCUAGAGCUACCGCAUGACCCAGCGACUCUGCUUCUGCCUGUGUACCCAAAGAAUUAAAAGAAGGGUUUCGAUGAGAUGCCGGCACCCCCAUGUUCACGGCAGCACUAUGCGCAGCAGCUGAGACAGGGAAGCACCCUAGUGUCCGCGGACGGACGGACGAACAAAACGUGGUCCAUCCCCACAAUGGAAUGUUAUCCGGCCUUAAGCGGGGAGGACAUUCUGACACCUGCCACCACAUGGAUGCACUUGGAGGAGACGAUGCUACAAGGUGAAAUACACCUGCCAGAGAGGACAGACACUGUGACCCCGCUUCUGGGAGGCCCCCAGAGGAGCCAGGUGCUGGAGACAGAAGGCAGACCGGGGGCGGGCGCGGGGCGCCAGGGCUGCGGAGCGAGCGUGGGAUGGGUAUACAAUUUGUCCUACGAAUGGGGGCUUCUGGGGGUGAAUGGAGGCGGUGGCUGCACCAGGAUGUAAAUGUACUGAAUUCCACUCAACUGUUGGCUUCAGGAUGAAAAUGGUAAACUUUCUGUUGUCUCUUUUACCGCAACAAAAGGAUAUUUCAAGUCCAUACUUUUAAAAAA